AUUGAUGGUCUUACACAUAGCUAUUUUAUUACUCUGAAUGUUUAGAACAGAGAAACAUCACUAUCAAUAGCUUCCAUCAACCAUGGAGUUAAAAAUUCACAUACAUCGGAUACAAUUCCAUCAAAUUUACAUACAUGAAUCAAAAGAGAAUGAAAACAGAGGCGCAACAUCUAAAAACACUAGUGCAUCAACUAAAUAUUCACAGCGUGAGACCUCUUUUCAUAAUGUUUGGUUACAACUUAUGUUGCAAGCUUCUCUUCAAGGUUACCCUGCAGUGGACAUAAAUGAACUUGUACAAAAGUGCAAGUGUCUCGCAUAAAAAAAAGUGCAAGUGUCAACACUUUGAUACAAAAAGGUGACAACAAACAGGAACAAUAUCUAUAAGAUAUAAUAAGCAUAAUCGAUCUGAUAUCUCAGUUUCUCGCAAUAACAGUGGCAUAUAUACACAACUUGUUUUUGUCACAGCAAAGUUACCCAAUUUUACAGCUAUAUGGAAAAAAUAAUGGAGUAAUUUGUGAUACAAUCAUAUCUCAGAUUUAUACAAACCAUGCAACUGAAAAAAUCCAUUCAAAUGACAACCUAACCACAUGCUUCUGGAUUAGUUAGAAAUAUUUAUCAGCUAACAGUCUGGAUUGAUGAGAUAUUAGAGGCUUCUUGCAAGUCAGGCUCAAAUCACAGUACCAAUGUCAAUACUCUUAAGUGCAAGUGCUCAAUGAUGCAUCACCACAAAAUUGUAUGGUGAGAAAAUAACAAGGAGUUAAGUCUAACCAUUUCAGAUGUUCGAGAAAAAUGGGCAGAGUCAUCAUCAUCUCCAUAACAGUAAAAACCAAAGGAUUAUGCAAUUAUUCAAUAAUGUAACAGCAGGGAACAGUACCUCUUUAUUCAGAAGAAUAAGUAGAAUUUCUUGCCUUUAUUGAUAACCUUAACGUCCUGCUUCAGCCUCCUUGUUGUGCUGAUCCUAUUCCGUGCAAUUUCCAUGCAACGGAUCAUUGAUCCCUAAAUCAUAACAUAAUGAAAGAGCAUGAAACCAAAAGGAUCAUUGGUGAGACAAUAAUACGUUUUUACAGUACUGCAUGGUGAGACAAUAAAGGGUCCAAAAGAAAUAGAGAGGGGUAGUUUGCAGAUUAAACCAACAUAGCAGCUACUGGCUCAAUAAUGUUGAUCUGAGGAUGUUGGGCACACUGAACACAGCACGGUAUGUUUUAAUAUACACAAG
RNAcentral lists this long non-coding RNA (1216 nucleotides) under Triticum aestivum (bread wheat). RNAcentral's name for it is "long non-coding RNA (TAES_LNC004459)". The record is from RNAcentral. Lineage: Eukaryota; Viridiplantae; Streptophyta; Magnoliopsida; Poales; Poaceae.